This 253-nucleotide ribosomal RNA is filed under the name uncultured bacterium. Its description in RNAcentral is "partial 16S ribosomal RNA". It matches the Rfam family "Bacterial small subunit ribosomal RNA", at positions 524 to 776 of the family's 1533-position model. The record is from RNAcentral.
UACGAAGGGGGCUAGCGUUGCUCGGAAUUACUGGACGUAAAGGGCGCGUAGGCGGACAGUUUAGUCAGAGGUGAAAGCCCAGGGCUCAACCUUGGAAUUGCCUUUGAUACUGGCUGUCUUGAGUUCGGGAGAGGUGAGUGGAAUGCCGAGUGUAGAGGUGAAAUUCGUAGAUAUUCGGCGGAACACCAGUGGCGAAGGCGACUCACUGGCCCGAUACUGACGCUGAGGCGCGAAAGCGUGGGGAGCAAACAGG